RNAcentral lists this transfer RNA (69 nucleotides) under Ictidomys tridecemlineatus (thirteen-lined ground squirrel). RNAcentral's name for it is "Spermophilus tridecemlineatus (thirteen-lined ground squirrel) tRNA". It matches the Rfam family "tRNA". Rfam says of the family: Transfer RNA (tRNA) molecules are approximately 80 nucleotides in length. Their secondary structure includes four short double-helical elements and three loops (D, anti-codon, and T loops). Further hydrogen bonds mediate the characteristic L-shaped molecular structure. tRNAs have two regions of fundamental functional importance: the anti-codon, which is responsible for specific mRNA codon recognition, and the 3' end, to which the tRNAs corresponding amino acid is attached (by aminoacyl-tRNA synthetases). tRNAs cope with the degeneracy of the genetic code in two manners: having more than one tRNA (with a specific anti-codon) for a particular amino acid; and 'wobble' base-pairing, i.e. permitting non-standard base-pairing at the 3rd anti-codon position. Lineage: Eukaryota; Metazoa; Chordata; Mammalia; Rodentia; Sciuridae. The record is from Rfam by way of RNAcentral.
GGGGUUGUGGCUCAGAGGUAGAGCACUCGCCUAGCACCGGGGAGACCCUGGGUUCGAAUCUCAGCACCA